AGAGCUCCCCAUUGAAGGGUGCAAAAUGGAAAUUCAAUAAGGAGCUCCAGUGAUUGCUUCCCCCAGAAAAAAAAAAAAACAAUUUUAACAGCUAUUCACACACCAAGCCAUUUCUACAAGAGCUGAGAAAGCCAGUAAAAUAGUGACAGAACAGCAUAAACCAACAGAGGAAGAGGACAGACACACUGCUGUGGCCACCGACACUGACAGCUACAGUUUCUGCCUCACCUGUUUCCAGAUGGGAAUGUCAUCUUGCUGAAAAAAAAGGCAUGAGUAUACAGCAAUGAACAAAAUAUACAAAAAUCCUGUCUACAUGGAGCUUAUGUUCUAGUGGAGGACAGAGACAAUAAAUACUCAUCUAGGAUGGUGGCAUAAGUUGGAUUCCUCGGAAAGAACAUGUCUAAGACCUCACUGAACAUGGAAGAGUGACCAAGUGAUGAAAAUAAGAGGACAGAAAAAGCCAGAAGCAAGUCUCAUUAUGGUAUUAGAGUAUGUAGAAUAGUGUCCAGCUUCAAGUUAGACCCACAGGACUCCUCUUAUCUCAGGUGUUCAAGGAGAUGCUGAUGAAUCAUCUGUGGAGACAGCACACUGUGAGUUACCCAAAGAGAAGACACAAUGUAGACACAAAAAGGUGAAGUUGAAAAUAAAACAUAAUUUAAGAUCGGAUCACAUUCAUUUCAGCAGAUAAGUGAAGUUUGAUUUUACCUCUUACUUCGUCUUUGAGCUGAAGAGACAGAGGUGCCUCAUCUUGGGGAGGAAGGGACAUUUCUCUGCCUCACAGAGAAGAGAGAAGCUACCCUACUUUCUUACAGUCUUUUAUGCCUAAUGCCACACUGAGGGCCAUUUUGAGGUCUAGGUGAUGGGCAGAACCUUUGUGUUUUGCAAGGAAGAGGUAGUUUGCUUUAAAAAUAUAUUUGCUGAAUUAUAAGGCUCUAAAAUUACACUGUGACUGGUGGAAGCUUUGGGUAAAUUAUACUGUAGUCUAAGAAUUUUUAUUAAUCGUUUGUUUUGUCUCUUUAAGUACAGAAGAGUGUCUAUCAAAGACAUGUUGUGACAUGACAUGACAUGACAUGACAGUACAUGACAGUUCGGUGAGUGAAUGCUCAGUAUAUAUUUGCAGAGUGAAUAGAGGAGGUGAGUUACAGCCCCCGCCCCCCUACUUUGGGAAAAGGAAGUGGGUACCUGCCUCUGAUGGCAUAUUCUAAGAUUCAGUACACUGGCCAUUGACUACACCUGACAAUCCCACAAUCCCAUUCACAGUCUCAGGUCAGUUGGGGAUUCUGCCUGAACCAAGCUGUCAAGGAACAAAAUCUGAGACUCGUUCAACCCGUGAAAGGGAAGACCAUUUCUCAGAUGGUAAAAGCAGUGUCUCAGAGAAUGAACAAGAAGGCAGAACGAGCAUCAGAAACUUGGCUUUUAGUUUGGUCAAAUAACUAGUACAUGGUGAAUAAGCCAAAAUCUUAGCCAUCAAACUAAAAGGAACUAAAAUUUAUUGGAAGAAUGAAAUUUAUACUGACUCACUGAAAACCUUUUAAUGCUGAUCUAAGAGCUUGUAUCCAAGUUGUUGAAUCCAAGCUACUUUUCUCUCAGUCAGUGUGUAUAAGUCAUGCUGUUUCCCCCCGAAGUUGCUGAGUAUCUUUGUUUCACUAAUGUGUAUGGAAGCUGCUACCUUAUAACCAACUGAAAACCUCAGUCCCUCCCAAUCCCUACAAAUGCUGUCCUAUACAUAACAAGCCUACCUGAAUCUUCCCAUGGACCACCUGCUGAAAAUAGCAUCUGGCGUGCUUUGCAUUUUCCAACCCGUAUGCUUACCCAACAUGAAUGUUGAUUAAUAACAUGCAUCUUUAAGACACAAACUCAUCAGUCUUGCUUUGCAUAUACAGCCACAAGCCGAGAACCAGCUUAUCUGGUUUCCUUAUAUCAGGGCAGCCUGCCUGUCACAGGGCAAGGUGGCGUCCUUUCCGUAUGAUUGCCAAAACGCUUAUUUAAUAGAAACUAUUUAUAAAUGUUAAUUAUAGCACUUUUUUUCCUUGAAAACCACAUGUUCAUAUUUGUUGAAAUUUUUUUCUUUUCUCUUCUUUUUGACCACAACCGGCUUAACUUACUGGAAAAAAAUAAUAUUCAUAUUUAAAGAGGUAAAUUUUCCAGCUGAAACUGAAAACACUAACUGCUUCAUCCGUGAUGAUCUGAGAAACCAGCAUUUCUCACAGAGGCCCGUUUUGCUGAGUUAACAUUUUCAUGUGUAUGUUGAAAGAAAAUUGGGUUCCAAAGAAGUAAAAGGGCCCUACAGAAGCAACCAACGCCCUGGAAACAAAAUUGCCAGGAAUGGUCAAGACCAAGCUGCCUUGCUGAAAGCCUCUGAGUGGCAGCAGAAUGUUACUAUGAGUAACGCCCCUAUGAGUAUGGCUGCACGGCCUCUCCCACCCUUCUUGGUCACCUGUGUUAAAAGGCAAGAGUGUUUUGCUUUGUUUUGUUCUGCAAACAGCACUGUGUGAUCUGGAAGACGAAAGUGCUGGAUUUAGCUUUAGAUGCACAUCAAAGACAGCCUCAAAGAGGAAAAGAAGUGAAGAAGCUGUCCCUGCUAACUGCCAAGGCUGUAUUGAAGAGAAGGAGUGGAGAGCUUAACCUUGGUCAGGCAGCCUCACGUGUUGUGUCACGCAGCUCACAGGUUCACGUAUAACACUGUCUGGGAGCAUAUCCGUUGCUUUCCUUUGCUAUGCCUCGGUCUUAGCAGACUCCCCGGGGCAAGGUUUUGUUUCCCCUAUCCUUGACUACAAGAGAACCUGAGGAGUUUCCUGCCUCACGCUAGUGUUGCAGACUGGAGGGAGCAGUAAGGAAGUCAGGCAUGUGUGUAAGAAACCCCACCUCUCCUUAACCAGAGAAUGCAUGACGUGCUGCUUUUUCUAGGGGGCACACUUGGCUUUGUUGUUUAGCAAUUGAAUAUUUUAAAUAUUUGCUUUCUUCAAGCCUAUGUUUAACCAGCUUACUUUUUUUUUUCUUUUGCAAAGAAAGCCCUGACCAUUUACACUAGGAAGCCCUGCUAACUGGGCAAAAUGUCCAUUGUCUAACACACAAACUAGCUUUGUAUCAGUGUUUCUCAACAGUGACUACAUUGACAUUUGGGAUGGUCAAGUCUUUGCUGUCAGGGCUGUCCUGUGCCUUCUAGAAUGUAUAGCAGCCUCCCUGACCUCUGACUACCAGAUGCCAGUAGCACCCUCACCACACCCGCAGUUAUGACACCUGAAAGUUUGUCCAGACAAUACCAAAUGUUCUCUGCAGGGCAAUCAGCCCCAGUUCAGAUCCACUGGUUGUAGGACUUGGGGGUAGGGAAUGGCUGGCAAGGCCAUUUUGUAAAGACCUUAGAUAAUCACUAAAUAACUGCAACACUUAAGUUAUUUUCUCUUCAUUAAACUUAUUAAAUCUCUUAACAAACCCUGAUUUGAUGGUAGCCCUGAAAACCUUGUUCUAAUGGUAAUGUGUCCUUGAACCCUUUUCUUUCCUCCUGAGUUUGCCUGCCAGUAUAGCUUAAAGAUUUUAGCUAUACCAUUACUCGUAUCAUAGGCAGCACUGCUUGAUAGAUUAUCAGACAGAUACAGUGCCGCUGAGACAAACUUCUGUCAUUGUGAUGUAAGAUCAAAAAAUAUAUCUUUCACUUUAGAAGUAUAUAAAGAAAGGCACAUGGGGUCAUUUCAAGUUAGAAAAUGGGAUAUUUUCUUUCUUCUUUUGCAAGUUCAAUUGCAAUUAUUUAUUUUUUAUUUUUUUAAUUUUUUUGACAGGCAGAGUGGACAGUGAGAGAGAGAGACAGAGAGAAAGGUCUUCCUUUGCCAUUGGUUCACCCUCCAAUGGCCACCGCAGCCGGCACACAGUGCUGAUCCAAUGGCAGGAGCCAGGUACUUAUCCUGAUCUCCCAUGGGGUGCAGGGCCCAAAUACUCGGGCCAUCCUCCACUGAACUCCCGGGCCACAGCAGAGAGCUGGCCUGGAAGAGGGCAACCGGGACAGAAUCCGGCGCCCCGACCGGGACUAGAACCCAGUGUGCCGGCGCCACAAGGCGGAGGAUUAUCCUAGUGAGCUGCGGCUCUGGCCCUCAAUUGCAAUUAGACUUUAGUUAGGAAACUCUGGAAAAGACUCUAACCAGAGUGGUUAUACAGGGUACUUGAGAUGCUGAAAAUCUAUGCUUUGAUGAUUAGGCACCUUGAUUAAGAAAUAUUCUUGGGGUCAGCAUUGUGGAUAGCGAGUAAAGCUGCUGCCUGCUGUGCUGGCAUCCAAUAUGAGCACUAGUUUUUGUCCUGGCUGCUCCACUCAUGAUCUAGCUCCCUGCUCAUGGCCUGGAAAAAGCAACAGAAGAUGGCCCAAGUGCUUGGGCUACUGCACUCACAGGGGAGACUUGGGUGAAGCUCCUGGCUCCUGGCUUUGGCCUGCCCAGCCGUAGCCAUAGGGGAGUGAAUCAGCAUGUGGAAGAUCUCUCUCCCUCUAUCUCUCCUCCUCUCUCUGUAACUCUUUCAAAUAAGUAUAUAAAUCCUUAAAAAGAGAGGGAGAGAAAUAGUCUCACUUAUUGGAAAAGUCUUUCCUACAAGCUGAAUGUGCUACUUUCAUUUUUAGAUGCUGCUUAUUAGAAAAGGACCUAGUAAAUGAGAGCAGUUAUGUUCAGAGCUAGAGAGUGAAUUUUAGAGAAAAGCAAUAGUUGUGACUCACUCACUUUCUAAACUUUUACACAUAGUCAUUUACAGUAAUUGUUUUCUUUGCAAUAUAUCUUCAUAAGUCCCCCCCCUUUCUACAGUCCUAAUUACGGGUAGCACUUUCAUGGUUAUCCUAAUUUAUGCAAUUAAAGGACUAUGACAAUGAAAACAUCUCCCCAGUUGCUUUUAUACUCUGAGGGUACCAAAUCAGAAGACCAGAUUGAAGAAGCAACUAGGGAAAAAGAUCAACAGACAGCACUCUUCAACUGUUUGCCAGGCCUCUCCUCCCAGGACUCUUGUGGAUUUAAGUGACUCAAGAGAUGGACUGAAAUGUUGAAAAUGGUUCUUUAAAGACCUCACUGAAGGCGAAUGACAAGACUCACUGAGGCCAAGCUGAUCAACAAUAUCUAAAAGUUGAUGCAUUCUAAUCAUGUAACGAUCUUGCCCUUUGGAGCUUGAUUUAUGGGCCACUGUCCCCAAGAAGAUGACCAUCAGACAGAUGACUAUCCUUUCCAUGUUGCCAGCACUGGAUCUCGUGAGAACAGCAGUGGGAAGACCUUGAUCUCGUUUUCACUUCAGUUUGACUGUGAACAGGUUGUCAGUAAAGCUACCUAUUUAUUCAUCCUUCAAGGAGAGGUAGAGCCCUCCCAUUGCAGCCUGGAAAUCUUUGUAAAAUGGAUCAAUAGAGAAUCACUGCUGUCAGCCCUGCCGUGCUCACCAUGAUGCCAGAUAUCCCAGAACCUCGCUGAGAUCUCUCAACUCUCUCUACAAUGCAUCAACCAGCAUACCAGGCAUCUCCAGGCUUGUGGUCCAGUUAUGUGACCUCAGAGAACCAGAACUCUUGCCUUAAGAGUUUCAUCUGCAAGAAAUGUUACAUGAGUGCAGAAAAAUGUCCAGCUGAACUGAGCCAUAUAAAUGCACAAAAUCUCCAGCUGACUGAGCUCACCAUGUGGGUAAUGAGCACCAUGUAUUCAUGUCUGGUGUCAUAAUUUUAUAUUUCUCCUUUGAUACUUCUCAAUAACUUACAAACUGCCCUCCUUCUAAUAUCCACUUCCAUGAGAAAACUACAGGUAUGUUUCUAGGUAAAAUGCCAUAUUUUUAUUAGUAUUUCUGUAUUUCUGAACCAUUCAGUAUGUCUAAAGAUACUGUCUUUUUAAAAUUAGUUUCCUAUUUUCUUCCACUUUAAUGUAUUUAUUUACUUAUUGAUUAGCAGAGAGAGAGAGAGAAAGACAGAGGGUUCCCAUCCCCAUUUUCAAGGGCCAGCACUGGGCCAGCCCAAAGCCAGAAACUGGGAACUGAAUCCAGUUCUCCUACAUGGUGGCAGGUUCCCAACUGCCUGAACCAUCACUGCUGCCUUCCAGGGUCUGCACGGGGAGGAAUCUGGAAUUGGGAGCAUAGCUAAGACUUGAACACAGGCACUCCACUAUGGGAUGUGGCCAUUGUAAUUGCUACACCAAACACCCACCUGUCUUCUUAGUAUCACUGAUAAAAAUGUUUGAGUGUCGUACCCUUAACCUCAACUUCCCCAUAAGCCUGUGGUUUUUCAUUGUGUGAUUUUUGUAUAGGACAGUGAUUUCUAGUAACAUAUGUCACAUUAUAGCAGAACCUAUGGUUUUUACCUGCUACUGCAACACUUGAGCCUCAUCAACAACUCAUUGUAUCCAGGUCAAAAAUCAAGACUAGAAAGUGAAAAAGACUUUUUAAAAUGUAUUUCUUAUUUCUGUACAAGGCACAUCCAUGCUAGAUACUUAAAAUUCUGGUGUUACUCCUUCCUUGGCUGUUUCCCAUGGCACAGGGUGCUUCUUUUGGGCUCUGUGGAUCCCCAGGAUGCUAUAAAUAUGCUUCAGUUGUCCUUAAACUUCCAGGAUUUAUUUGUGAACUUUUGUGUCUCUAUUUUGGAAAGAGGGAAAGCUUCCAUUUCAUCAAUUUCUCAAAGGCAAUCUCAUGCAACCACUGUUUUUUUCUUUUAUUUUCCACUCUCCAGAGUCCUCUGUGAAGGGCCACAUGGCCACGUUUCUUCAGCACAAGCACACAAUUGUGCGGCUUGGAAAUGUCUGCACAGGAGAAGCCAUGCUGGUGUGGCAAACAUGCCGCUCUGACUUAACUCCCACGUUGACUUGGAACCUGAGGGCGAGGUGUUGAGUUUUACUACAUGUGUUCUUUCCAGGAAUAUAACUGAGGCUGUCACUAUGAAACCUUACUCAUCUACCCAAGGGGAUUCAUAGACAUCUUCAAUAAUUUCCUCUAGUGGACCAUGCCUAUAGAUAACACCUGGUCAGGACAGAGGCCAGGAACCUGAAGGAAAGCUUGCAGCCCUGGAGGACAGGCUGAUGAUGAAGCAGCCAAAGCACAGAGCAAUUAAGUAACACGCUGGAGCGACUCGGGGAGCCGGCUCCCUGGGUCCCACCACUCCUCUUCUCAACCUGUGGGAACCUGCCUCCAUUGCUAGUGUCAUUGGAUUCUAACAGAACAGCCCAGGCAGCUCAUGAAACCCUACAAAGAGCCUCACCACCAGUGAAGAUGUUUCUGACACAUGGAUUGGGGUAAGGAGAUUCUGCCAUUCUCUGGGAGACUUACAAGGAUGUUCGAGGAACUGUGAGGGAGAAGAGUUUCUUCUUGGGAACUGCUAUUAAGCGCCGUGUACGGAGAGAACGUGGCCCCACACCGGAUGUUUGAUUAAACAGAUGGAAUUCCACGCAGUGGAAAGUUGUGAAGGCGGCCACCUGUAGCACAUGCACCAGCAGUGAGCAAAGUGGUGGGAAGUCAGUGAAGAGAGAGGCGGCAGGAUGACUUCUAGCUUCUAACCCUGGACCAACAAUCUGUGCUGUGAGGAGCCUUCCUGUUCAAAAUCCAGGUUCUUACCCCUCAGAACAAGUGCCGUUUUCUCUUGUGACAUGCUAAGGUUCCUAACCAUCAGAGAAAGGAGUGGGCCCAAGUAGCUGCAGCCAUAGGAAAGGCUUGAUGAGUGCCAUCACACAUCUCACCAGAAUCAGCAAGCUAUCAGCAACGGCAACCACUCACAAGGAAACCACUUCAAAAACAUAGGUCAGUGCUCGCCAGGGGGCAGGCUGACAGCAAAGCACCAGGUAGAAGAAAAAUCACUUCCAAAUAGGGCGAUGCUUAGGAAAAAAUGCUGUCAAGGAAGGGAAGCCAAAAAACUCUAUGGUCUGGGGGAAAUGCAGAAUUUAUAGAACUGGCCACCUAGGUUCCAAUCCCAGCUGGGAAAAGGCAGUUCUCUGCACCUCUGUCUUCUGGAGAAAGUGACAAUAUAGGUAUAUGUAGCUUAUAAGAUUGUUAUGUGUAUUAAGUAAAAAGAGGCGAGUUCUAAGACUUUAGGGAGACCGGUUAAAUCCCUACUUAAAAGUGAGGAAUACACACAAGCUGUUCUAAUGCUUUGACAUAGUCAUCUGCUUGGCUCCAAGUGCACACAUGAUGUCCAUGGGCCUCCCAGGCCGGGUGAGCAUGCACCUGUACAGCCAUUUAGUCCCCAUCUCAGACAGUUUCUAGAAGCCUCUCAUCUCUAGGUAUUCUUACCCCACCCCUCAUGAUAAUUCAGAUAAUCCAGAUGAAUCCUCUGAGCUGUAUCCAUUUAUGGUUAUGUUCUGCUCAUCCAGAGAAAACCAAAUGUUUUUGAAUCAUUUCUAGAUUUAGAUUCAACAAUAAUUUCAGAAUCCUCAUGUUCCAGACUUUAAUUCUCCUCACCUCCUUUUCACACUUAAUAACCACAGAACAGUAAAUACAGUAACUGUGAAAGGUUGCUAUAUACCAAGCACUGUGCUAGGCCCUUAUGUAUAAUAUCCUUCCAACAACUCAGAGACAUGUGCAUUUAUUUCUUUGUAGCAAGAACCAUCUCUUCUGAGACAGUGUCCUUAAAGAACUGGGACUCCUGUAGAAGUGGGCUUCCUGUAUGUUCCUGUUCUGCAGGCCUGAAGCUUCCCCGCUGCAGGGUCCACUUAGGCCUUCACCUUCAGAACCCCGUGAGUUAUUCUGUUCCCCAUGUACUAUGGCUGUACUUUCCAUGCAUCUCCCCAAAGUCUGGCAUGACAGAAUCCCGUUGGCCCAAUUCCAGGCCUUCCUGUCAUCACAGAGGGUCAUCUGACCCCUCUUAGCCAAGAGCUCCUAGGCAAGGCCUUGCAAAAUCCUCUUGACUCUCUUAUCCCUAACCAUGCAUUUUUCAUUCAAAUGACAUUAUUGAUUACACACCUCUCUACCACAGUUGAAUCUCUCUCUCUACCAAAUCCUUCACAUAAAAUAAUCUCUCUCAAGCUCAUCCCAAUGUUUAGAUAUCAUGGUCGAGGUGUUGACUGAGGUUCAGAGAUGUCAAAGAGCUUUACCUAAGAUGAUUCAGCUAGUUAAAGCUGGGAAAAGGACCUAGAUCUUCUGACUUCAAGUUCAGAACUUGCUAUGAUGUUCUGCUGCCUAAUCUUGUCAAUUCUUAAUUCCUCAUUCAUUUCUAGGAAUGACAGAAAGUGUCCUUUCUUAUCUCAUUUAAAUACUUAGGUGCAGGCUAAACGCCUCAUAUCAGAGCAACUAGAUUUGCUAACUAGUUUGCUGCAACUCCCUAACCUCCUGCUAAUGCAGUCCUAAGAGGCAGCAGGUGAUGGCUCAAGGAGCUGGCUUCCUGCCUCCCAAGUAGCAGACUCAAACUGAGUCCCUGGUUUCCAGCUUCAGCCCUGUUCCAGUCCUGUUGUGGGCAUUUGGGGAGUGAACCAAUGGAUAAGUGCUUUCUCUUUUUGCUCCUUUCUCCCCAUCCCCCUCCAUCACUUUGCCUCUCAAAAGAAUAAAUGGAAUUUUUCUUUAACAAAAAUUAAUUAAUGGGGGCCAGCACUGUGGUGUAGCAGAUUAAGCACUGCCUGCAUCCCCAGCAUCCCAUGUGGGCACC
Molecule: non-coding RNA, 9559 nt
Organism: Oryctolagus cuniculus (rabbit)
Lineage: Eukaryota; Metazoa; Chordata; Mammalia; Lagomorpha; Leporidae
Source: RefSeq, a predicted model, not a curated record